This 118-nucleotide ribosomal RNA is filed under the name Lepisosteus oculatus (spotted gar). The record is from RNAcentral. Lineage: Eukaryota; Metazoa; Chordata; Actinopteri; Semionotiformes; Lepisosteidae.
CUGGGCAGCCAUAUCAUCCUGCAACUCAUAACUGAUAACCCAGUGAAGGUCAGCAGGUGCGAGCCUGGUCAGUACCUGGAUGGGAGACCUCCUGGGAAAGCUAUGGUUGCUGCUGGAA